RNAcentral lists this ribosomal RNA (425 nucleotides) under uncultured bacterium. Its description in RNAcentral is "bacterial SSU rRNA". It matches the Rfam family "Bacterial small subunit ribosomal RNA", at positions 356 to 773 of the family's 1533-position model. The record is from RNAcentral.
GGGGAAUUUUGGACAAUGGGGGCAACCCUGAUCCAGCCAUGCCGCGUGAGUGAAGAAGGCCUUCGGGUUGUAAAGCUCUUUCGGCCGGGAAGAAAUCGCCAUCUCUAAUAUAGGUGGUGGAUGACGGUACCGGAAUAAGAAGCACCGGCUAACUACGUGCCAGCAGCCGCGGUAAUACGUAGGGUGCGAGCGUUAAUCGGAAUUACUGGGCGUAAAGCGUGCGCAGGCGGUUUUUUAAGAUAGGCGUGAAAUCCCCGGGCUUAACCUGGGAACUGCGCUUAUGACUGGAAGACUAGAGUACGGCAGAGGGGGGUGGAAUUCCACGUGUAGCAGUGAAAUGCGUAGAGAUGUGGAGGAACACCGAUGGCGAAGGCAGCCCCCUGGGCCGAUACUGACGCUCAUGCACGAAAGCGUGGGGAGCAAAC